RNAcentral lists this ribosomal RNA (484 nucleotides) under uncultured bacterium. Its description in RNAcentral is "partial 16S ribosomal RNA". It matches the Rfam family "Bacterial small subunit ribosomal RNA", at positions 30 to 507 of the family's 1533-position model. The record is from RNAcentral.
AUUGAACGCUGGCGGCAGGCCUAACACAUGCAAGUCGAGCGGAUGAAGGGAGCUUGCUCCUGGAUUCAGCGGCGGACGGGUGAGUAAUGCCUAGGAAUCUGCCUGGUAGUGGGGGAUAACGUCCGGAAACGGGCGCUAAUACCGCAUACGUCCUGAGGGAGAAAGUGGGGGAUCUUCGGACCUCACGCUAUCAGAUGAGCCUAGGUCGGAUUAGCUAGUUGGUGGGGUAAGGGCCUACCAAGGCGACGAUCCGUAACUGGUCUGAGAGGAUGAUCAGUCACACUGGAACUGAGACACGGUCCAGACUCCUACGGGAGGCAGCAGUGGGGAAUAUUGGACAAUAGGCGAAAGCCUGAUCCAGCCAUGCCGCGUGUGUGAAGAAGGUCUUCGGAUUGUAAAGCACUUUAAGUUGGGAGGAAGGGCAGUAAGUUAAUACCUUGCUGUUUUGACGUUACCAACAGAAUAAGCACCGGCUAACUUCGUG